Gymnodraco acuticeps is the source of this 677-nucleotide long non-coding RNA. RefSeq lists it as uncharacterized. NCBI's taxonomy places the organism in Eukaryota, Metazoa, Chordata, Actinopteri, Perciformes, Bathydraconidae. The transcript has 3 exons. The record is from RefSeq and is a predicted model, not a curated record.
UGGUUUUCGGAUUCUGGCCGACAGCCAGAGCUACGGCACUUGAAAUAGAAUUCAGCCAAACACGGCAGACAAGUCAGGCAUGUUUGGAAUGAGUCCACAACACUCCUGAUUGGUUAAUAUAAACGUCAUCGAAGAAACCUGCCAAUGUCCGCGCCUGUCGUUCACAUUUGAAACAUCCACGUCAGUUUGAGCGGGUCUCCUCCUGCGAGCUACAGCUCUCUGUGUGUCUGCUGCAGGAGUUUAUGGAUUAAUAUCGGGAUCGUUUUACAUCUACACGUUAAAUAUGAGCAUCGGGACGUCAACAAAGAACAGAAGACCUGAGAUCUGAGCACCAGUGGACAGUGAGGACUAUGGAAGAGAAGAUGUGAUGGUUUUGUGUGGAAAGCUGCUGAUGGCAGACUGUCCCUCAUCAGUCUCUCCAGGCAGCACCCAGCUAUUCUUCCAUCUUGCAGAUGAAAAUACUUUGAUAUCUGACACCUGGACACAGCAGGAACCUACGCCAGGAUCCUGUUUGUGGACUUCAGCUCUGCCUUCAACACAACCCUCUGGCUGGAGGCUGCGCUCCAUCAGGACCAACACCUCUCUCCAUCAGGACCAGAACCUCUCUCCAUCAGGACCAGAACCUCUCUCCAUCAGGACCAACACCUCUCUCCAUCAGGACCAGAACCUCUCUCCAU